Ribosomal RNA from Cercocebus atys (sooty mangabey), 119 nucleotides. Lineage: Eukaryota; Metazoa; Chordata; Mammalia; Primates; Cercopithecidae. The record is from Ensembl.
CUCCAUGGCCAUAUUUCCCUGAACGUCUUUGGUCUCAGCUGAUCUUGGAAACUAAGCAAGGUGAGGCUUCUUUAGUACUUGGAUGGCAGACCACCUCGGGAUACUAGGUGCCGUAGGCU